AACGAACGCUGGCGGCAGGCUUAACACAUGCAAGUCGAACGGGUGUAGCAAUACAUCAGUGGCAGACGGGUGAGUAACACGUGGGAACCUUCCUAGGGGUACGGAACAACUCAGGGAAACUUGAGCUAGUACCGUAUACGUCCGUGAGGAGAAAGAUUUAUCGCCCUUAGACGGGCCCGCGUCAGAUUAGCUAGUUGGUGGGGUAACGGCCUACCAAGGCGACGAUCCGUAGCUGAUCUUAGAGGAUGAUCAGCCACACUGGGACUGAGACACGGCCCAGACUCCUACGGGAGGCAGCAGUGGGGAAUCUUGGACAAUGGGCGCAAGCCUGAUCCAGCCAUGCCGCGUGAGUGAAGAAGGUCUUCGGAUUGUAAAGCUCUUUUGCCAGGGACGAUAAUGACGGUACCUGGAGAAUAAGCCCCGGCAAACUUCGUGCCAGCAGCCGCCGUAA
Molecule: ribosomal RNA, 451 nt
Filed under: uncultured bacterium
Lineage: Bacteria
Description: partial 16S ribosomal RNA
Rfam family: Bacterial small subunit ribosomal RNA
Source: RNAcentral